AUAUCAAGCACUGGAAGAAGAUUUUUGGGGGGAGAACAGACACCCAACAGAGAGACAAAUCCACCACGAUUAUCAACUUCAUUAAGAUUGACAAAGAAAGGAGAACAUGUCACCAUCAUCAGCCCUUUAUUUAGUUCACGGAAGAGCAUCAAGGGAAAGACCCUCAGACGUGUCAUAACAGGAUAAAUAAGGCUACAGGACUUAUUAGCCCACCCCACCCCACACUGACCAAGGAUCCAGAUGAGUACUGGCAAUUUGGUGAAGGAUUGUUCUUUAUGUACUACACUGCACUGUCACUUC
This is a long non-coding RNA of Rhinichthys klamathensis goyatoka, 300 nucleotides long. RefSeq lists it as uncharacterized. The transcript is spliced from 3 exons. NCBI's taxonomy places the organism in Eukaryota, Metazoa, Chordata, Actinopteri, Cypriniformes, Leuciscidae. The record is from RefSeq and is a predicted model, not a curated record.